Molecule: ribosomal RNA, 463 nt
Filed under: uncultured bacterium
Lineage: Bacteria
Description: partial 16S ribosomal RNA
Rfam family: Bacterial small subunit ribosomal RNA
Source: RNAcentral
GAUGAACGCUGACGGAAUGCUUAACACAUGCAAGUCGAUGGGGAAGUGGUGCUUGCACCAUGGUAACCAUGGCGGACGGGUGAGUAACGCGUAAGGAACUUGCCUGCGGGACUGGGAUAACAGCAGGAAACUGCUGAUAAUACCGGAUAAGGUCAUUAAGCUGCAUAGCUUAGUGAUGAAAGGAGACGCCUGCGGAGAGCCUUGCGUCCUAUUAGCUAGUUGGAGGGGUAACGGCCCACCAAGGCGAAGAUAGGUAGCCGGCCUGAGAGGGUGGACGGCCACAAGGGGACUGAGAUACGGCCCUUACUCCUACGGGAGGCAGCAGUGGGGAAUAUUGGACAAUGGGGGCAACCCUGAUCCAGCAAUUCUGUGUGCACGAAGACGGUUUUCGGAGUGUAAAGUGCUUUCAGCAGGGAAGAAGGAAGUGACGGUACCUGCAGAAGAAGCGACGGCUAAAUACGUG